GUAGAGGAGCGUUCCGUUCAGCAGUGAAGCUUCGUCGCGAGACGGGGUGGAGCGGACGGAAGUGAGAAUGUUGGCAUGAGUAACUACUAGGCAGGUGAAAACCCUGCCCGCCGAAUCCCCAAGGUUUCCCACGUAACGGCAAUCGGCGUGGGGUUAGUCGGGCCUAAGGUGAGGCCGAAAGGCGUAACCGAUGGACAACAGGUAAAUAUUCCUGUACCUCAUAAAAAUCGCCCAAGAGUACCACCCAAGAGUCUUAAGAGCCUCUGUAUCCCACUUCGGUGGGGUGCAUGUUCUCCAGAAAGGCGAGUGGUACGCUAGA
Molecule: self-splicing intron, 319 nt
Filed under: Candidatus Peribacteria bacterium GW2011_GWB1_54_5
Lineage: Bacteria; Candidatus Peregrinibacteriota; Candidatus Peribacteria
Also listed under: 1 other name
Rfam family: Bacterial large subunit ribosomal RNA
Source: RNAcentral